GAUGAAGAACGUAGCGAAAUGCGAUACGUAAUGUGAAUUGCAGAAUUCAGUGAAUCAUCGAGUCUUUGAACGCACAUUGCGCCCCCUGGUAUUCCGGGGGGCAUGCCUGUCCGAGCGUCAUUGCUGCCCUCAAGCACGGCUUGUGUGUUGGGCCUCCGUCCUCCUCCCGGGGGACGGGCCCGAAAGGCAGCGGCGGCACCGCGUCCGGUCCUCGAGCGUAUGGGGCUUCGUCACCCGCUCUUGUAGGCCCGGCCGGCGCUUGCCGACACAUCAAUCUUUUUUCCAGGUUGACCUCGGAACAGGUAGGGAUACCCGCUGAACUUAAGCAUAUCAAUCAGCGGAGGA
This 345-nucleotide unclassified non-coding RNA is filed under the name soil metagenome. RNAcentral describes it as "partial contains 5.8S ribosomal RNA, internal transcribed spacer 2, and large subunit ribosomal RNA". The stretch from base 1 to 120 matches the Rfam family "5.8S ribosomal RNA", at positions 35 to 154 of the family's 154-position model. The record is from RNAcentral.